CUGAUAUUCCUGGCUCAACCAAAGCGUAGAAAACGAAAGCAAUUUAAGUAUGAAGCAUAUUGGACUAACGAUGCAAAAUGUAAAACCAUAGUUAGAGAUACCUGGAAUGAACCUGCCUUAUAUGAUCUUAAUGUAAUGGAGAAACUGCAGCAAGUACAGCAGCAGUUGAUAUAGUGGAGCAAAAGCAAAUUUGGCCAUGCUAAGAAGAGGAUCACCUGGCUGAAAGGUGAACUCCAGAACCUAAUGAAUAGCACACAAAUCAAUGGAGAAUCAACUCAAGCGAAAAAGUUAACUCAAGAAAUCGAUCAACUAUGGCGACAAGAGGAGAU
Molecule: long non-coding RNA, 329 nt
Filed under: Eucalyptus grandis
Lineage: Eukaryota; Viridiplantae; Streptophyta; Magnoliopsida; Myrtales; Myrtaceae
Description: long non-coding RNA (EGRA_LNC002051)
Source: RNAcentral